RNAcentral lists this long non-coding RNA (35976 nucleotides) under Malus domestica (apple). Its description in RNAcentral is "long non-coding RNA (MDOM_LNC014748)". The record is from RNAcentral. Lineage: Eukaryota; Viridiplantae; Streptophyta; Magnoliopsida; Rosales; Rosaceae.
CAGAACACCGUCAAAUUCCUCGUAGUCACCACACCUUUGUGAUUCCUGAACCUGGAGGGGCGCAAAACCAAAAUUGAGUGGGUCAGUAAAACAAUUCUUUUCCAAAUCUAAACAUUUCUCAAAACGUUGUAACCCCUCUCCGUAAAACCUGUAUACUUUCCCAGAAAUAUAAAAUAUAAAUAUACAUAUAUAUAUUCUCAAUACUUCAAUUCAUUAACUCAACAUUUUCAUCAUAAUUAUGCCAUGCCACAUCAUCUCAACAUUUCUCAUAUUAAUUAUGCCAUGCCACAUCAUCUCAACAGUAAUAAGGUAUGAAUGCAUCAACAUAAAUCAUAUCAGGUGCAAUAAGAUAAUCAACCGGAGGCCCUCUAUUAGCCCGGUUGAACCUAGAGCUCAAAAUCUAUCACUCUCACACUCUGCCGGAGUCACUCCGCGUGACCUGUACGGCCUUCUGCACACAAGUUACGCUCUAGUGCUUCUCAUAAAUCAUCUGUGCACAUAAUCUAAGGUCACCCACCAGUCGGAAUCUCACUAACACUCUCGCGACUGGCCUGUCGUACCCACUCCGCGUGGACUGUACGACUAGCAUCUACUUGGAUCCAAGACGAGCGUGCGAUGCGGUGAAUACUAUAAGCACUAAACUAUGGUGCAGGAUUUGAGCUCAAUAUACAUCAACAUCAUCAUAACAAUAAUAAUACUCACCUGAUACUCACCUGUGCGUCCACCGCACCAUUUCAUAUAUAUGCAUCAUAUCUCAAUUCAUAUCAUUUCAUAUAAUUUCAUGCAUGGCAAUUCGAUUCACAUUUCUAUAUACUUUUCAUAUAAUUCUGUAUACUUUUCGCACACUUCUAUGCAUGGCAUUUCAACUAAUAUAUCUCAUAUACUUUUAUACAUUUUCAUUUAAAGCAUAAUUUCAUGCAUUUUCAAUUUCUGGGAAAACGGCAAGUAUAUAUGUAUAUGGAAAACAAAACUGCCCACUCACAGAAUACAUCAACGUGUCGAAGGUCCCUGAGCAUCCCUUGGCUAUGCCUGAUGCCCGCAUAAGCCUCACCUAUACAAAAGUAACCAAUUUGGCGUUAUUUAACGCCUAACCCAAUUCUUAGCUAAUAACUCCUCAUAUAUUCCUCAAAUUGGGUAUAUGAAUAUACCACUGUGACCUACACAACCUCAGGAUCAUCCCCAUAUUUUUAAAAUAAUUUUUGGAGGUUUCACGCGCCCCCACGCGCCUGACGUGGCACGGACCUACGCGCCCCCCACGCGCGGCCACGUGCCAUGCACACUGACGGCACAGUAACGGCAGUUAGGGAAUAUUCCGUUAAAUCCUAGCAUAUUCCGUUAAAUAAUUAACGGCGUCAGUCACGCCGUUAGCAUAUUCCGUCAAAACUGACGGAAUAUUCCCUGUCUUCUCCGACGACUGUUCGCCGGUUUCUGGAAAUUUUUCAAACUUGCUAUUCUCCUUCGUUUUUCAUCCAUUUUUCACGUAAUUUAUACCGAUUUGAAGCCCUAAUCAUAAGCUAUCACGAUGGACUAAUUUUAAGCUUCAAAAACAACGGAAUCAAACUUUCCAAAAAUAUGAAAAUUCGGCCUACCUUUGAACUAGGUGAUCCCGACGUCCAAUUCAUGCCAACGAAGCACUCCGAGCUUCCUUGGGACUUCCUUAAGCUCACUGUGAGCUUGGUUUGGCCUAAAACACAACCAAUUCAAAGCUCAUGAACAGUACACAUUCACGGCAACUUUAGAAACUAGGGUUUUCGAAGUGAAACUUACCUUAAACUGGUACCUACGUGAUCGUGGAGUCCUCAGGAAUGCAAUGGUGGUUUUAGAUCCGACUUUGGUAGAAGUUUUAGGGUGUUUUUGAAGUUGGUCCGUGAGUUCGAAGGAGAGAGAGACAGAGAGAGUGAGAAAUCGUGAAGGAGGAGAGAGAGAGAAUGACAAGGUACGGGAAUUGGGGAAGGUUUUGAGGGAUGUGGGGGUCCCCGUGUCCAACUCAAUCUCAAUUUCAAACUUUUAACAUAGAAACCUAAGUAAAAGUCUUGGCUUAGGUUUCUAAAACCAAUUAAUAUUCUAAUUCACCAAAGUUUAAGAACCUUAAGUAAAAACAAGUGUCCAAAUUACGCACUUUAGUCCCGUUUAGGGACAUUUUCGUAACUUCACGUCCUCGGAAUUAAAAUUCCGGGACGGACUGUGACAAUCAAGAACCCCCGACUAUAAAACCACUGAGGGAAUAGGUUUUAGAUUCAACCGAUCCUGAUAAACAAAAAUGGGUGGGCUUCCUUCUAUCUGAUACGGAAGUCGAAGAGUUGUUGAAAUUUCUUAGGAGCAACACUAAUGUUUUUGCAUGGUUCCAUAGGGACAUGACAGGAAUUGACCCGGAAGUGGCAUGUCACCAGCUGAAUGUGGAUCCGAGUUGUCCUCCACACCGACAAAAACAGAGGAGAUUUACGCUAGAGCGAAAUCAGAUUAUCAGUGUAGAAGUCGAUAGACCCCUCAAAGUUGGAUUCAUUCGUGAUGUCUGGUGCCCAACUUGGGUUUCAAAUGUCGUGGUGGUAGGCAAGAAAGAAAAAGGAAAAUGGCGUGUAUAUGUGGAUUACACCAACCUGAACAUGGUAUGCCAGAAAGACUGUUUUCCAAUUCCAAAAAUUGACCAGACGGUGGAUGCUACUGCCGGGUAUGCAUUGUUGUCUUUCUUAAACGCUUAUUCCAGUUCUAACCAAAUUCAUAUGGUUAUUAAAGAUCAAGAGAAAGCUGCUUUUAUCACUAAGCGUAUGUUGUAUUGUUACAUCGUCAUGCCUUUCGAACUCAAGAAUGCCAACUCGACUUAUCAAAGGUUAGUGAACAAGAUGUUUAAAAAUCAAAUUGGAAAUACAAUGGAGGUUUACAUUGACGAUAUGGUUGUCAAAAGCCGAGAAAGGUGCCAACACAUCGAUCAUCUACACAACAUUUUCAACGUAUUGAGAAGAUAUCGCAUGCAGCUAAACUCAGAAAAAUGUGCAUUCGGUGUAUCAUCUGGGCAGUUCUUAGGGCACAUAGUGAACAAACGAGGCAUUGAACCAAACCCAAUGAAAGUUGAAGCCUUGUGUAACAUGUCGGAUCUAAUAACACCUAGAGACAUUCAAGUGUUAACUAGGUGAGUUGUUGCCCUUAUCCGUUUCAUUUCACGAUCAUUCAAUCAAUGUGAACCUUUUUUUCAAGCCAUACAAAACAGGAGAGGAAGUGUGUGGGGGCAUGAGCAAAGGGAAGCUUUCAAACAACUGAAGAAGUAUCUCACAAGCCUAUUAUUGUUAACUAUCCCCAAGCAAAGUGAGCCGAUGUGCAUGUACCUGGCCGUAAACGAAAGGGUAGUAAGUGCUGCAUUAUUCAGAGAAGAAGGCUCAGUUCAACAACCCAUAUUUUACUUGAGCAAAAGUUUAAUUUAUGCAUAGAAGAGGUAUUCACCCAUUGAGAAGGUGAUGAUGGCCUUAAUAACCGCAAAGAAGAAGAUAUGUCAGUACUUCGAGGCAGACACCAUUGUGGUGUUAACUAAUCAACCAAUCAGGGCUAUCUUAUCUAAACUGGACUUAUUGGGAAGAAUUACGAAGUGGGCCAUUGAACUUAGUUCAUUUGACAUAAAGUAUCAGCCUCGAAGCACAACUAAAGAACAGGUAAUUGUUGACUUUCUUGUAGAGUGUUAUCCUCAUGAAAGUUUGCAGGGUGAAUGCGAGGAAAUUGCGGAAGUCGACCUUAAUGAGACCAAGUGGGAGCUGUAUGUGGAUGGGUCAUCCAAUCAAGCAGGAGCUGGAGCAGGGAUCAUUUUAAUUUCUUCUGAGGGUGUAGACUCAGAGCGUUCGGUUCGGCUGGAUUUUCCUGCAUCAACAAUGUGGUGGAAUAUGAAGCUCUGAUACUAAGCCUCAAACUUGCGAAACAAUUGAAGAUAAGUCGUCUCACCGUGCAUAAUGAUUCAUAACUUAUCGUUAGCCAAGCACUGAAGAGUAUACAACUAAAAAUGCGAGGAUAGAAGCAUAUCAGUAGCUGGUUAAAAGGCUGGCGAAUGGAUUCAAGUAUUUCGAGCUGAAGCAAAUACCUAGAAAAAUGAACGAAAAAAUGGAUCAACUAGCGUGUGCGGCGUUAGCCGUACAAGAGAACCUACGGGUAACCAAAGUAGAAUGUCUGUACUCCCUGAGUAUCGAGGUAGUGAGAUCAAAUGUGAUGCAGGUAGAUGGGCAAGGGGUGAGACUUGAUAACUCGUUGCUAGAGCAUGCUCAAGCUGAAGAUGAUGACUGUUAGAUGACACCAAUCAUAAACUACUUGACAAAAGGGAUCCAGCCAGAAAAUCAUGUGGAAGCGAGAAAACUCAAAAUAAAAACAGUAAGAUAUGCAAUCCUUAAUGACACGCUCUAUAGGAGGUCAUUCUCAGGACCAUGCCUAAGGUGCUUAAAUCCAAGGCAAUCUGAAUGGGUCUUAAGAGAAUUACAUAAAGGAAUGUGUGGGAAUCACUUUGAAGGAAGAAGUUUAGUGCAUCGAGCAUUAACCCAAGGCUACUUCUGGCCGUACAUGGCUUGAGACGCAGAGCAAUAUGUAAGAAAGUGCGACAAUUGCCAGAAAUAUGCACCGGUUGUUAGACAACCUGCCGAAUAAUUCAAUCCAAUCGUAGGACCCUGGCCAUUCAAUAAAUGAGGAAUGGACAUCGUAGGCCUGUUGCUAAGGACGUCCGGGAAUAACAGGUUUGUCUUUUUCGCCACAGACUACUUCACUAAGUGGGUGGAAGCAGAAACGUACAUUUCUAUUACACAAGAUGACGUUGUAAGAUUCGUAUGGCGAAACAUUAUAUGCUAGUUUGGCAUACCAAAGGCGAUUGUGAUGGAUAAUGGGACACAGUUCGACAAUCGAAGAUUUAGAAGUUAUUGCACAAAGAAAUGAAUCAUAUUACAAUUCUUUUCUAGAAGUUAUCCCCAUGGUAAUGGCCAAGUGGAGAAGACAAAUCGAACGAUUUCUUAUUGCUUAAAGAAAAAGUUAGAACAUCGCAAAGGAAAGUGGCAUGAGGAACUCCCCAAUGUAUUGUGGGCAUAUCGUACCACAAAAUGGAAACCAAUAAGAGAAAUCCCAUUCUCUCUCGAUUAUAACACUAAAGCAGUUAUCCCCACAGAAGUCGGUCUACCUACGAUUAGAACAUCAGUUGUGGAAAAUGGCCAGAACGAUCAACAGCUAGCCCAUAACCUUAACUUAGUCGAGGAACAAAGGGAAAUCGCCGCACUACGACUUGCGAACUACCAGAACCAAGUUGCCACUUACUUCAACAAAUGGGUCAAGUAAAAAAGGUUCAAGGUAAAUGAAUAGGUAUUGAGAAAGGUCAUGGAAAACACAAAAGAUUUGAAUGCAAUGGAGCUUAGACGCAUAUGGGAAUGACCAUAUGAGGUGACCGAAACCUUCGGAAAGGGAACUUAUAAACUCAGGCACGUUGAAACAGGUCAGUAUGUGUCACGCCCAUGGAAUGCAAUUCAUUUGAGAAAGUACCACAUUUAGCUUUUCGUGUUUAUGUUUUCUGUAUUUAAAUUUCUGUUUCCAGCAAUGUUGAAGGGUAAAUCCCUUCUUGUCUUCCUUGCAUGUCAAAUAGUGUAUCCCUAGAUGUCUCUUGACAUCUCCUUAUUGUAUGAUAAAUAAAGUUGCAUUUCAUUCAAAUCUUCGACUAAAGUCUAAAGUUGAAGAGCAUAAACCAUGGAUUGGGAUUGAAUCAAGAUCAAAAACAUAAGAUCGAGUGGGAAAAGAAAACCCAAGAUUGGAUAGGAGGAGUCCCAAUCAAGAUCGAGAAUCUAAGAUCGAGUGGGAAAAGAAAACCUAAGAGCGGAUGGGCGGAGACACAGUCAAGAUCGAGAAUUUAAGAUCGAGUGGGAAAAGAAAGCCCAAGAUUGAAUGGGCAAAUACCCAAUCAAGAUCAAAACUCUAAGAUCGAGUAGGAAAGGAAAGCCCAUGGGCAAAGACCCAAUCAAGAUCGAAAUCUAAGAUCGAGCGGGAAAAGAAAACAAAGAUCGAAUGAGCAAAGGUCUACCAAGAUCGAAAAUCUAAGAUCAAAUAGGUAAAAAACUGAUUAAGAGUAGAAUUCAAGGUUGAACGGUUUUGAGAUCGAUAACGAAAGGGCGAAUUUAAUAAAUCUGAUUUUCCUCCUCGAACACGUCGUGUGUUUGCAGAGGAAAAUGAGGCAUUACAUGUGCAAAAGUAAAAGCUCAAGCAAUGGGACAUUGUUUUCCUGCUAUAAAAGGGAAUAUCAUUUAUUUAAAAGAGGAAAACCUCUUGGAUGUUGGAUACAUAGUGCGAUAAAAGAUAAGAAUGAAAAAAGAAGUAAACCUACAAGUAGAAGGUGAAAACAAAGACAACAUCACUACUAGAUAUCCUAGUAGUGGUUGGACCAAAGGGCCCAACUUAUUACAAGCAAAAUGACAUCUAGUCUAACGAGGUGGAGAGACUAUCCCAGUUUACGAAGGGAAAUGCCUCUUUCUUCUUGGAGCAAAAAUAGUGAAUGCCCUAUUUAAAACCAUCAUGUAUGUCAUUUGAGUGAGCAACAGACACGGCACGAUCAGCAACCAUCAAAUCCCCCCUGAGACGAUCCACUCGGUGUUCAGCGUGUUGCAAGUAUCCCUUCAGAGUUUCACGCUCGUCCAAUAGCAAGGAAUAGUCGAAGCACUGGGGAUAGCAUAGGUGGAGACAGGAAUGUACGCGAGAAGCGCCCGCUUCAUCUCUUGCAUAAGGGUAAGGAGAAUGAGCGAUAGAGUCAAAAGCCCAAGUCGCGUAACUCCUUCCCGAAGAGACCAUUCUAUCAAUAACAUAAUUAUGAGCUCGAGUGGUAUAUUUCAGCCUUGGAGAAAUCCUUCCACCGACAACGAAGUCUAAAGCCUAUUUUCCACCCGACCUUGUUCGAGACCGGUACGUGGAUUCACAAAAAGUGUUAAGGACUUCAGAAGAGUGAGAAACCCUCAUUGGCGAACGAGAAGAUGAAUUAUAACAUAGCUCGAUAACAUUCCUAUAACCCUUCCGGGAGCUUCCUUUUUUUGGGACAUCAGCAUAGAGCCGGUAGUUGAGCUUCACUCUUCGAUUGUUAACCAUAUGAUCCAGAUACUACCUACUGGCUCUCAAACACCGCUUUAUAUAUAGACAAUUCGAGGUUGCUAGAAAUAAGAAUUCAAAAUCUAAGAUGAUCGUAUCUUAUUGUGAUAAGUUAAUCUCUCGUUUGAAAACUCAAAUUUAAGGAUAAAUGAUAUUGAUCACAUUCAGUUAAAAUUGAAAAUCAAAAGAAACAGCUAUAAAGGGUUGGGGCAAUGGAAGGGCGAAUGCCCAACUUGCGAACGACAAUUACGCAAAAAUACAAACAAAUAUAAUAAGUAAAAUACGGUAAAUACAAACACAAAUGGGGUUUUAGCCCAUGAGAAUAGAUCACAAACACAAAUAGGGUUUUAGCCCAUAAGAAUAGAUCACGCGAUUGCAUGAGUUACUGAGCGCCAAAACAAGAGCCGAAUUGAAAGCCUCCAAAGCCUAAACCCGCUGCUUAGGAUAGGAUCAGAAGAAGCAGGCUGGUUUGAGGGUCUCCGAUCCUUAGGAUCCAUCCCCUCGUACCACUUAUACACGUCAAAAUCAGCUACAAAUCGAUGUUUCGGACAUUGCUGGCUUUGUACCCAACUAAAUCUGAAGCUAGAGGCCAUCUUUUUGCGUAUUUGUUGCAUGUUCAUCUCACGCUUAGUGGCCCUCGCUUGCUUGACCUCAACCAACUCUUCUUUCGUGCAGCGUACUUCAGACGUCACAACAUCGCGAGCUCCCUUCAAACCUGAGAUCUCUUCCUCAUAUUCGUAAAGUCUAGCCUGACACUUUCUGACCUGCUACUGUUUAAGGCUGAGGGAUUCCAACCUAGCAGCCAGUCUAUCUGAUUUUUCCCUUUGAAGUAGAGCCAUCUGAAAACAACGGUAGGGUUAAAGGUUACAAAAAUGAUGAAACAUGAGAGAAUGAGAGAAUACCUUCAUAAGACAAUGAGAUUCAUAGGAGUCGACAUCGUCAUCGAGCAUUACCUCAAAGCGACUGGCAUCAUUAAGAUGAGUAAGCCUCUCACCACAGCAGUAGUGGCGUUUGCAUUACCCCAUAGAUCAUCGCCAAGGGUGACGAAACUCCCAUCUCUUUUUGUGAAUUCAGGCCUCCAAGCUUAAGAUGAAUUGUUGGAACCAUCGCCACUAGCCGAGCCGAAUGUGGGAGGAACCGAUUGCCAUUGCAUGGGUCUAAGGGUUGUGCCAAAGAUAGUCGGUGAACCACGCCUAGGCUUUUUGGGCCUAUCCGCCAGAGGACGUUUAUCUGACCUGCCUGCAAUUCUGGGCACUGGAAGAUCACGAUGAGGCGAUGCAAUGCAGCGGGGCAGUGGAAUGUUAGAAGGUGGUGAAGCCAUCAUGGGAGAAUAAUUCGAGUCAGAAUCUGUGUCUGUUUGCCCUGUCUCCUCAUCUUCUUCUCCUUUGUCUCCUUCUUCUAAGCCCUCUGUUUGGGAGUCGGUCAUAAGUAUGGGAGAGUCUAUGUUAAAUUGAAGCUCAAUAUCAAGAACAAAGAUAGAUUUAAGCAAGGGAUCUGGGGGCAACGACCGAUCGACUAAGCAAUACGGGAAGUAAAUGACAGAGUUGUGGAAAGAAAUGAUUUGAGUAAGAGUGCUGGCAACUUCUCUAGAGCUCCAUAUUUUCUUCGUCAUAAACUUCUUUAGCCAACACUUUUGACCUUUGGAGAUUAUUUGUUCGGGACCAUCCGAUAAAGCUGCAAAAGAAACUCAUGGUAAGUUAUGUUUACAUAUUUGUUGAAAAACUGAUAGCAAAAGUAAAUUUAUAUACCAGGUUUAGGACCAAAAGUAGAAUAGAUAAAUAGUUGAGACAGCUCGGGAGCCUUCCAGUUCCCCAAAAUCAGAAGAAGGUGGUUCUUCCAAUCUCUGUCUUUCGAGGGAUCCAAUGACAAGAAUUUCUUGCAAUACCUAGAUUUAAAAUUAAAGAAACUAGUUUCGCCCUUAAUGGUGGUUAAGUCGAAGAGAUAGAGGAAGUCUUUCAAACCUAAGGAUACGCCUAGCUUCAGACCCAAUGCCAGGAAGGUCGACAUAACCAAGUAAGAGUUCGGGUUCAGUUGCAUAGGGUGAGUAUUUGUGAAGAAUAAGAUGAGAUGAAUCAUGGGGUGGAGUGGAAAACUAAUGGUCCCCAAAUGGUCUAGAGACAAACGGUAGAUUGAAUUGGGAUACCGGAGCCCGAGUACAUGUCGGCUCCGGUGGGAAGUGGGCUGAUGUGCAUGUCAUCUGGAACGUGGCAUUGGUCACUAACCUUGACGAUUUCAAAGUGUGGUGAUACUCCAUAUUUAGACCAAUGUGUACGUCCUAACAUGAGGAACGGGAUGGGAGACUUGCCGGCCAAAAUUGAUUCGAGAAGACAAGAAGAGGAAUUUGUACCUAUAAACAUAAGUGGAAUGUUUGAAAGAUUCCCACAAGAGGAGUUUGAAAUGGAAAAAUUACUUGUAAGCCAAUAGGCCAAUCUGAAACGAGAAAUCAUAAACUUGGUGGAGAACUGAGCAAAUGAAGUGAAGAAAAGCAAGGAUUGGAGAAAUUCAAUUUAUAAGAAGAGAAAUGAGGGCAGUUUGGAUGUAAAUUUCCAACCCUAUAGGAUAGAUGAAACUCCAAUUUAGAGGACAAAAGCUAUAGACAACCUGAUGGAUGGGAUAGGACGUGAAAGUAAGGUGUCAUUUUCUCAUAUAUAUUUCAAUGUGUAGUCACCAUCUAGGUGACGGGAGACGUAGAUUUGACAACGAGAGCGAAAGAAAAAAGCUUGUUCCGAAGCACAUGUUCCAAAGUUAGAGAUAUGAAAUAUGUUGAGCCCAAGUAAUUACACACUAAUAUGUAUAUAUGUGUGUGUAUAGAGAGAGAGAGAAAGAGAGAGAGGGAGAUAUAUAUAUAAAGGUACGAAAAAGUGUGUACAGAGAUACGCAUGUUGGUGAGCAAAGAUAUGCACAUGCGUAUGUGUGUGUAAAUGUCGGUCGGUGAGCCUAUAUGUGCAAACUAGGCGUGCAGAUAAAACACACUAUGUGCAGGUGAACAGCCAGGCUUUGGAGCCACACAUAUAUACAUAUACAUAUACAUAUACUUAUACAUAUACAUAUAUAUGUGUGCAAACUAGGCGUCCAGAUAUGUGUGUAUACAUAUACAUAUACACAUAUAUAUAUAUAUGCGCGAGCGCACAUAUACAUAUAUAUAUACGUAUACAUAUACAUAUAUAUAUAUAUAUGUACAAACUAGGCGUUCAGAUAUAUGUGUACACAUAUACAUAUACAUAUAUACAUACACACAUAUAUAUACGUACAAACUAGGCGUCCAGAUAUGUGUGUACACAUAUACAUACACACACAUAUAUAAUAGGCGUCCAGAUAUGUGUGUACACAUAUACAUACACACAUAUACAUACACACACAUAUAUAUAUAUGCGCACGCGCGCGCGUGUGUAGAUAUAUAUGUGCAAACUAGGCGUGCAGAUAAAGCACACUAUGUGCAGGUGAACAACCAAGCUUUGGAGCCACACGUGUGUAUAUAUAUAUAUAUGUGUGUGUGUGUGUGUAGAUGCAGACAUGCAGGCUAGGUGUGCAGCUAUGUGUGAGGAGGAAACAGCAUUGUGGAUCGUACGUGUGAGAAGGAAACAAACUAGGUGUGCAGACAAGAUGGGAUAGAAAUUUAUAUAAUAAAUAUACAUAAAUAUAUGUAUGUCAGUCAAUUUUCGUAAAUCCUCAUUCGUGAGCCAAACAAAAGUGUCAGUCCACUUUCCUAAAUCCUUGUUCGUAAAUCAUACAAAGGUGUCAACUUUCAACUUUUGUAGAUCAUGUCAGUCCAUAAAUCCUCGUUCGUAAGUCAUACGAAAGUGUCAGUCCAUUUUCUUAAAUCAUAUGUUAGUCCACUUUCGUAAAUCCUCAUUCGUAAGUCACACGAAAGUGGUCCACUUUCGUAAAUCCACGUUCGUAAAUCAUACGAAUGUGUUCAGUCCACUUUCAUAAAUCCUCAUUCGUAAGUCACACGAAAGUGUUGGUCCACUUUCUUAAAUCAUAUAUUAGUCCACUUUCGCAACAAGGUGUCAACCCUCGUUCGUAAAUCAUAUUAGUCCACUUUCGUAAACCGUGGUAAGAUGUCAAUUGGCGUUCAUAAAGCAUGCAAAGAUCUCUGUCGGCCUUAACAAGUUAUGCAGCGGUCGUAAAUUAUGGUUUAGGCGUCAGUAAAUUUGGCCUUUGGAAAAAAUAACUUCUACAAAUUUGGCCUUAGCAAGAAAUGAUUUUAGCUUGGCUUAAAGAAUAUAGUUUCAAGGCCUCAUGAUCGAAAAAAUCAGUUUUCCCCUAUUUUACAUACGGUAAAAAAAAAGGAAAAGGGGGGCAUUGUGGGAGGAUAAAAUUCGGUUUCGACUCAUGGGCCAAUACCAAUCAUCUAAGGAGAAGGUGUUGUGCAAGAUAAACUGUGAGGAAAGCCCACAAGAAAAAUACAAACGCAAGGGAAACAUGUCUAGAUAACUACCCCUACAGACGCAAGGGAAAUGUGUCUAGAUAACUACCCCUACAGACGCAAGAGGAACGUGCCUAGAUAACUGCUCCCACUACGGAGGAGAAGUGGGAGAGGAAGAUAGGUGCCAAAGAACAAGGGACGUAAGGAGAACUCGAGAGAAACCAGAGAAUAGAAAAUCAAUUGCCUAACUUGACCGUCGGAGUAUCUCUUGCAACCCCACCCAGGCAAGCUAUGGAGGAAGACUAUUCGAGGACACCUCUAACGAAGGAUUCGGCGAACGUGAGGAUUGCGGACAACAAAUCUGUGGAGGUAUUUCUUCCCGUAGGAAAUUUCGCUCUAACAAUAACCUGAUUAGAAAUAUUUAACUUGCUCAAAUGCAUGUAGUAUUUACAAAUUAAUUUUCAUGUAGUAUUUACAAAUUAAUUUUCGAAGCAAACUAAGUUGUAAAUAUAUGUUCACAAUGAUACCUAGCAACAAACUAGAUCACCCGCCCGUACCUAGAGUGACUCUGAAGAAUGUAUAAAAAAAUGCAGAAAAUAGCAUUGGAAUGUCAAUGAACGAUCACUAUACCCUAAAAUUAUUUUUGUGUAGUUCAAAAAUCACAACAAUUUUGAUAAAAAUACAUACCAACAAUCAAAUUCACAAACUACAUACAAAUUUUAAGAUAAGAAAUAGCAAACAUACCUCCACAAGAAUUUCAGGCGAUGGAGAUGCAGAGAGAUUUGGGGAAGAUGGAGAGGAAAAGAUGGAGACCAAGAUCACUUCUCUAGCCACCAAAAUAUUAUGAAAAUAAAAAGACUUCUAGGUUUUUAACGUGCAAACCUAGAAAAAAUUGGUGAUGGCAAUUUUGAUGUUUUUUUCCAAGUGUAAUGACAUUUUAGACUUUGCAAAUUAAAAAAUAGGGAUAAUUCGGAAAUUGAAAAAAAAAUCAUUAAAGGAAGCAAAGUGCUUCCCUUGUUUUCUAUGCGUAGCACUUUUAGGAGGAAGCACCUAGGAAGUGCUUCUUAGAAAAUGCUUAUUAGUGCUUCUACUUUUAACUAAAAGUACUUUUAAAGUAUUUGCCAAACGAUCAUUUUUUAAAACUAAAGCGCUUUUACCCAUUAGGAAACGAUUUUGACUCUUUCAAAAGCACAACCAAACGAGCUAGGUGACAACCACCUAGAACGAUCUCGAAUUACCCCUCGACCUAGGCAAUUUCUUUUUUCUAGCCGCCACUCCCUGUGGGUGACAACCACCUAGAAUUCGAUCUUGGAAGAUGGCGGCAUGGACUCCUCUACCGUCCAUUCCAAGACCCCGACGACCAGCAACUUCAUACAUCUCUUUGAAGAAAGAAAAGCUGUGACUACUUACCAAGUUACUCCAACCAUUCAAACAUUGCAAAUUAAGUACUUUAUUAUAUGAUCAUAAUCUGAUAGUGUAGCUUUUUACGCCAACAGUCCAUAUAACAAUCAGCUUUCAAAUGUAUAAACAAUCUGUACACAGUCUAUAAUCCCUAUUAGCUGGGAUCAACAUAUAAAGCUGGUUACGAUAUGGAUGCUGCAAUUCUCAGCUAUUAAACUUGAGUAAACUCCAGAGCAUUUGCAUCCGGGUCUCGAGUGAAAAUCGCCGGCCUCCCGGACUUGCUCAGCGUGUAGGGGAUACCUGCAGUAGCAGAUAGCAGUAUAAGUCGCCCACAUUCCUUCCAUAGAUCAACAUCCGUCCGACAUGUUAUUGAAAAUGAUAUGAACUGCAGAUGAGGAAAACUAAAGCUUACCAGCAUCGUCGAGGAUUACUUUCAGCUUAGACACAUCCCGGAUUGCAAUACAAGUAUGGCGGUCGCGGCCUCCAUGCGUUGGUCUUCCGGUCAAAGGGUCGGGAUUUGGAAGUUCCAUGAGAUGAAUCAUCUCUGAACCAACCCAUAACCAAGCACCUCUGUAGGGGAGCUUAUCAUGUGGCCUUGCCUCAUUUAUUUCAAGCCCUAUUUUUUUUUUAUCCAUCAAUGAUGUCAAAUCAUGUACUUUUAAUAUGCAAGUAAAAGAUGAGAAUUUUGAAAAUUUUACCCAAAAUGUUCUGGUAAAAGCUGAGAGAUCUUUCAAGGUUUUCACACAGCAAUCCGACAUGGUGGACACUAACAACUCCAAAAUCUGCAUGAGAAUCAAAAGAUGAACAAGUAAGAUGCAUCAGAGAAUGCAUAUGCAGCACUACCAAGGAAAAUCUAAUUUAGGGUAACAUGAGCGACAUGCGUUUCUCCUUACAGACAAAUCACAGUUGAAACUUGACACGCAUACAAAAACUUGUCUUUCUGUGAUUCGAGCCAUAGUCUACAAUAAAGAGUGGAGAGGGAGCACACUGCUUCAAACUAACUUUUAGAGUAUUUUGUAACAUAUGUGUUAAACUGUGAUUUGUAGAUACAUAAGAAAGGUUGGUCCUUUCAUGUAAUGAGGCAACCAGUGUUCAAAACAAACAUGUCCCAAAGAUUGAGUUAAGCACGCAAAUUAGAGUGUGUGAAACGAUAUCACAUCAUGCAAUUAAAGUUCACUUUUUGUUUAAAUAGGAUGUUUUAUUCAAAACCAGUGUUCUAAAAAUCGGCCUAAGCAACGCCUAGGCGCUGGGCGGCGGAGCUCCAACUCGAUUUAGACCAAAACAUUCAAUUAGGCGGGGAGGACUUAGGCGGCCGCCUAGGCGCUCACUAGGUGGUGCUAGGCGGCCGUCUAGACGGUUUGAAUCUCGCUGCAAUUUUCACAACCGGAUCUACAACUUCCGAUCUCGUACAUAGCAGCAGAGCUUCAGGGAAUUUCUGUGUCUCUGUGAAGAUGAGGGAAGAGAGAGAGAGAGUAUUAAACAUUUCAAUCGGUGGUGGCGCAAGUUGGAUUUGAGAUCCAAUUUUGAGGUUCUGAAAGUGAAAGGCCGAAGAAGAAGAACGAAGAUGAGGCAAGAGGGAAGAUGAGGCAUGAGGGAAGAGAGUGCCAAGAGAGACUAAAAGAUUAGGUUAUGAAAGGGUAAAGAAGAAGAAACGAAAUUCAAAAGCUGGUGAUGGGUUCUUGGAUGAUGUGAAAGAGUCCGAUGGUUUUAAUUAUGAAACCACCCACUCAUCAGAUGGUUUUAAAUAUGAAACCACCCAUGGGUUUUUUUUUUUUAGUUUUAAAAGUUUGGGAUGUAUAUUAUAUGUAUAUAAAUGUUAUAUAAAUUAUAAAUUAUAAAUCAUUUAGAUAAUAUUUUGUUUUUUUUUCCUAGGCAAGCAUAUUAGAUAUGUACAUAAAACAUUCACAUAUGUAUGUUCUUCUAUAAGAAAUAACAUAUUAUUCAAUAAUUAUUUACAUCUGAUAUAGUAAAUUUAAUUAAUUCAUAUAAUAUAUAAAAAAAUUACCUAAAUCCGCCUAGGCGCUAGGCGCUAAACCACCGCCCGACUAGCGCCUAGCGUUUUUUAGAAACUUGUUCAAAACAUUGUACGAUCAUACAAAAAAUAACUUAAAAUGGUUCAUCCGAAACUCAAACGUGAAAUUAAAGGUUUUUUUUUUUAACAAACAAUAUUCUCUACGCAGGGAGGGGUGGGUUUAGCCUUACAAUAGGCUAGUAAUAAUGUAGUUCAAACCCGCCAACAAACUUAAGACCGCUCACUUACAAAGAAAAGAGGAAUAUCACUGGACUGUAGUACUAAGUGGCAUGAGGUUGGGGAUGCAACACGAAAUUGAAGUUCUUAAAACAAUAAACAACAACAACAAAGUUUUAUCUUACUAAAUUCGGCUGUAUGAACCUUAGAGCGUAACUACGCUCGAUUUUGCAUCAAGUUUUCCGUUAAGACCAAAUACUUCGUAUCUUUUCUUAAAACAACAAACAAUCACAAAAAAUUUAUCUUUAUUGCCAUGGAUUUUAUCAUUUUACAAGUCUCAGUCACACCAAAUUCCCAAAUUUCCAAGACCCAACUUAGAAGACAAUUUUUGGCAAUCAAAUAAAAGUGACCAAAGAAUAAGAAGAGUUACCAUUUUUGUCCUGAGCACCGACUGAUUGCUUCUCCAGUACAUCUUCUUCAACGGUCGCCUUAGCUUUCGCCACAGAACACCGUCCGUGACGCCUGCAACUUCUCAGACCGGUCCGGUCAAUUUUAGAUGAUGGGUUCGUAAGUAAAGUGCUGACUCUAAUCCCAUCUUCCUGCAAUCGAUCAAAUAAACAAAACCCAAAUUAAAUAAAGUAAAAUUAAAUCGUAAUCAUAAAUAAAUAAAAGAAGAAUGAAAAAUGCGUGAUAUAAUAAAAUUUACCUUGAGUUGGAGGGGAAGGGUGGGAGGUGGGAUGAGAAGGGAAGCCAUGGAAGAGCAGCUGCUCAUCUGGGUUUUUGUCUGUUUCUUGUGUUCUUUGUGGCCAGGCCCUCCCUACAGUUCCUACCUCGCAAUGUUUUUGCAGAUAUACUAAUAAAAUAAAUAAAUUAGAAAAUAUUAGAAAAAUCACGAGCCAUUACUUUAUGUUUUGGGGUUAUUAUUUUGGGAAUUGUUAUUAUCAUUUCAAAAAUCUCAUUUGGUACUUCAAAUUUUCUAUAAUUAGAAAAAUACAUUUGUGAGAAGUGUAAAAUGAGAUUUUUAGAGUGCUUAUAACAGUUCCCUCUUUUUUUUUAACAAAUGAUAUUAUGUAUGUUAAAAAAGAUGGGUGAGCUUAACCUCACAAUAGGCUAGCAAUAAUAUGAUUUAAAAUCAAACCUCAAACCUCUAAUUUACAAGUGAAGAUAAGUAUCAUUAGACCGUAAUACUAUGUAGUACAACACGAGGCCCACAUAAGCUUAGACCCGAAGGCAGCAGAAAACAGACAAUAAAAAAACCCUAAUCUCCAUCAACAAAGACUAUGUCGUUUUUGCCGUCACGUCCUCGGAGUAGGCCAAACUCCGAACAGAGAAAGUAGACACCAGAUCCAAUUCUCCUUCACGAGCCCUUGCAAAUAUAUACAAACAAAGUAUCAUAUGGGUAGAGGAUGAGGCUAAGGGGGUAUGUAAAAUACCCAACACUUGGCCUCAAUAGGGUUAUGGCAUAUGUAUGCCGUUUAGGGAGGGUAGGGAGUGAAGGAGGGAAGUGGAUUUGGUAUCCUAUUCCUAAUUGUAGCCCGCCUAUCCGAGUACAUGGUGGGGUGGGAUCACAACUAAGGAGGAAGGAUGACAGAAAGUUAAAAGACAGAAAACAGUAAAAGUAGGCAAAAGAUGCCGGAUAAGUGGCAAGAAGCCUAGAUCUAAAACAAGCUCUGGGAUAGUUGAGACCCAGCUCAGGAAAAACUGAGAUAAACUCAGAAAGAAUCAAGAAUAAAACAAAAGAAAGAGACUGGAAAGAUGAGAAGAAGAGAUGGAUGCAGGGAAUGGGUGGAGCAGAGGAAGUAAUGGGGGAGGAAAAGAAGAAAAAGGCAAAUGAGGGAAGGGGAGAAGAAGGGGAAGAAGAGGGAAGAAUGAGACUGAAAAAAUUAGGAAGUAGCGGGUUGCUACCUACCCCAAGCAAGAGUAAGGGUCGGCGACUGAAAGUUGAAGCCGAAUAAAAGGUUUAAAUCUGGGUUUCUAGAGAGAAACUGUGAGAGGUUAAAUUUCACAUUUGCCCCCCAUAAAGAAUUGAUUUUCCCACAUGAUGGCUUUUAAUUUCUAGGCUUGGUUCUAAUAAAGAGAAUAAUUUUUACAUGUCAUUUUCUUCACUUCUUGUCAGUUGUUAUGAUUGAUAUAGUAACAUAUAUAUGUCACUCAGUACUACGAUCUGAUAGUAUUUCUCUUCACUUGAAAGUGAGAGAUCUUAGGUUCGAAUCUCGUGAAUGGCGAAUUCGAUACCAAAUUAGGCUGCCCAUUGAGCAUAUUUGCCGAACUCCCCCUCUUCUUAGUGCAAAAAUAUCAAUGUACUCAAAAACAUAUAUGAUCACUUGCAAAACACUUGUAUAAUGUGAACACAUGUUUUAAAAAUAAUAAAUAAAUAAAAAAGAAAGGUACACCAAUUGUACUAAGUGCUUAAAGACAAGUAAUAUCACCGAGUUUCAGUAAAAACACAUAUUCUUCUUAAGGCUUAGGUAAACUCCUUGGGUUUAUAACAGGGGUGUGCUAUACAUACACCCCUUGAUAAUUUAUGUCCAUUGAUUUUCUUCAAUUCAUCCGAUCCGACGGUUGAAAAUUAAAAAGAUGUGUGAGAAGUAAAAUGGGGUGUGUGGAUAUCACACCCCUUAUAAUAAGGAAAACUAAAGAAAAUGGCUUAAAAACUUUGAGUUUUAAUGAUAAAGACAAAAUAAAUGGUAAAGUGAAUGGUACCAAGAUUGACUUUUUAGUGUAAAAAUGUGAUUUUUUGUUAAAAUGAACAGUACCAUGAGCUUUUCGUUAAAGUUCCCUUUAUAAUAACUUGUAAUAAUGUAGUACCUCACUCUUAAACUAAACAUGUUAUGGAUUGUAGUAUUGAUGAUUUACGUGUCACGAAAAUAAUAUUUUCAGAAAAUUGUAGCAAUGGUGAAAGACUUUAACUCAAUUGGAGUAAUAAUCUAUCAACUAAAUAUCCAUGACCAUUGAUCUAUUUACUUAUCAAAACAUGCAGUUAUAAUCUUUUUCGUCAACUCCGUUAAAACUUCCAUUAAAAUGAGUCACGUGCCAUGCACAUGAGACUGAAUUAAAGGGCAAAUAUAGGAGACUAAAUGAGAAAAAUUGGAGAAAUUAUCCCUCAAAUUUAACCCAAUUGGAGAAAUUGGUCCCUCAACUUUAACCCAAUUGGAACAAUGGUAUAUUAACUUUAACCCAACUGUAGCAAUAAUUCUUCUAAGAUGACUCAUUUUGACGGAGUUGAUGAAAAUGAUCAUAAUUGCACGUUUUGAGGAGUUAAGCGUAAGGAUGGGUUCAAAAAACCGAAAAAAAAACAAGCUGAACACCGAACCGAAGCCGAAAAAAACCGAACCAAACUAAGUGAACCAAACCGAACCGAUUUAUAUAAUUAUUUAAUAUAUAUUAAUUAUAUAAAUCAUAUAUAAAUACUCAAAACCUAGAGGCAAGGUGUUUCGAACUCCUUACCUCUUGGUUGAGAGUGUUUGUUUCAGCCAACUUGACAACAGGCUUUCUGUUGCUAAAAUUGUACUAGUAAAAUAUUUAUACUGAUUCUGGAUCUUUAAUUCAUUAUAAGAUUUCCAAACACAAAACCCUAGCUGCCCCAUUUACUCUCCCAUUUCAUCUACUCCUAGUUCUGUCUUCUUUGUCUUUCUCUCUCUCUCUCUCCCACCGUGGAGCCAUUGACCUUCUCGCGGGCGAUUCGCUCGAUGUGGAUGACCCAUUUGCGGCGGUGGACCUGGACGACCUUGCCCUCGUGGCUCUUGAAGGUCCCGCGAACCACAUGGGCCUCGUCUUCCUUAUGCACAGGGAACAAAGGUCGGAGGAGAGAGGCGCGCUCAUCAACACGCGGCACACGCUGGAUGGCGCGGUGAAGUAAGCCUUGCCGGCAUUGCAGGUUUGGUUCUGUUUUUGCUUUGUUUUUUCUGAAAUUUGCUUAUGCAUUCACUUUUACUUUGCUUGUUCUUAUGGAAGAUUAGUAUUAGUUCAUUUCAUAAUUUUGUAUCCGAAUAAACCAACAAGUCUCAAUUGUUUAUUUUCGAGGUUAAGUGAUGAAUUUUUGAACAAAAAUUUGCUGAUGUUGUUCUUGGAUUUGUCUAUGUGGUAAAGAUCUUUGGUUUUUGGGUAUUUACUCUUUAUUAAAACCCUUGGUUCUCGUCUGUUUGGCUGUGUUCGGACAGGUGCUCAUGGCUGGAUGUUGCAAUCGGUGAGGCAUCGGUUGGUUGGUGGCGGCGAGUGCUUCAAUGGAAGCCCAGUUUUUUUUUUUUUUUUUGUAUUUUAUGGCUUGGGCCUUUACCAUUUGUUGGGUCUUUUGGGCUAAAUUGGCAGGUCCCCUUUUGGGCUAAUUUACCAAUAUCCAGAAUUUUUUUUUUAAAAAGGAAAAAACUGAACCGAACCGGAAAAAACUGAAACUGAAAAAAACUAAACCGAAAAAAACCGAGGAAAAAUCAAACCGAACCGAACCGAAUAGUAACUUCGGUUUGGUUUUCGGUUUCGACCAAAAACCGAACCGAAAGGAAUCAAACCCACCCCUAAUUAAGGGACCAAUAAUUAUAGAUUUUUUGUUAAGAAAUUAUUGCUCUAAUUAAAUUUUAAUCGAGAGAUCAUUACUAUAAUUUUGUAAUAUUUUUAUGUUCAUAUCUCACUCAUCGUGACACGGUAAGGUCCUAUGUCCGUGCCUAAUUUGGUUAAUUAUGAAUAAAAUUGUAUUGCCAUUGAAAAAUAAUUAUAACAAUCUAAGAGCUGGCUUUUCAACCACUUGAUAAAAAAAUAGAGACUAAUUUAUAUGGGUAUUUUAAUUAAUUAUAAGCCUGAUAUCAUAUCACAAAUAAAUUGAAAGUCAAUAAUUCCAAAGGGAAGAAGACUAUAAAAUCUGUUGACAAUUGACAUGCAAGUCAAGCUGCUAAUAAAACAAUACAAAACUCAAAAACCUAUGGGGGAUGGCCAGCGAAUGAGAUCAUGCUUUAGUCCGUUACUAUUUUUUUAGGGAAUUUUAACGAAAAAUUUACGAUACUAUUUAUUUUAAUAAAAAAUUAUAUUUUUAUGCCAAAAAGUUAAUUCUAAUACUAUUCAUUUUACCUUUUAUUUUGUCCUUAUCAUUAAAACUUAAAAUUUCUAAGUCUUUUUCAUUAAUUUUUUUUAUCUCUAUUGAAAAUGUUGCAAAUUUGAAUUAUAAAUUACUUUAACUUACGAAUUCAAUCUCAAGUGGAAUGAGACGGUCAAACUAAUAUAGCGAACUGGCGUUUGAGUUAUUUGAUUUCAUUUUUAUAUUUUUGGUGAACCGUGUUAGAUUGCAAAAUAAUUCACGCUAAAUACAUGUAAAUAAUUAUGGUUAUAAUUUAUUUGGGUUGCGAUUGCAAUGUUUUAAGUCGACAUGUAAAAUGUCAAACAGCCGAUGAUGUAGGUGUGUGAGGCCCCGUUUGGGAUUGAGGUGAUUUUAAAAAAAGCCACUGUGAAAAAAAGCUGAGGGUCAUUUUUGUGUUUGGUAAACUGAAAAAAAAAAGCUUAUUUUGGAAGCUGCUGUGAAAAUAAGCUGAAAAUCAAAGGAAAAGCUGAAGCUGCUAUUUGCUGCUUUGAAAAAAAGCCAGUUUUUUCAAAGCACAUGGAGCUACAGUGCUCCUUUAAUGAAAAGACACACUAUCAUCCUGCUUUUUUUUUCCAAAAGCACUUUCACAAAAAAGUUUACCAAACACUCUACUGGCUUUAUUUCACAGCCGCUUAUUCUCACAGCACAGCCGCUUAUUCUCACAUCAGCUUUUUUUCAAAGCACAGCAAUACUAAACCAGCCCUGAGUCACGGCGUACGUACCGCAUGCUAGUCUUCAAACAUGUACCGUUUUGUUCUUCUUUCAGACUUGUACUUAAAUAAUUAUGUAACUAUCAAUCACAUGUAAUUUUGAAAUUAACAACGUUGACCAAUAGCUUUUGGGUCAAUGUGAUUAAAAAUAAGCCACUUUAAUCUUGGAAAUAAAUCGAAGUCUAUAGAAACUAAAAGCUAAAGCCUAGAGAGAAAGAACUUCAUUAAUAACAAAGAACAUGAAUUUCAGUUUCCAAAAAAAAAAAAAAACAUGAAUUUCAUGUAAAAGAAAUCCUAAGCAGAUGUUUUUAAAGUGGAAAUCUUCAAUGAUUUUCUGUUAUUUUAUAGUUUAACAUUUUUCAUGUCAGUAUUAAAAAAAAUAUUAUGCUAAAUUUAACAGUGACAUGCAUUUAUUAGUUAAAUGGCAAAAAAAAAAAAAUUACUGAAUUUAGUUUUAAUAUAGUAGUUCUCAGACAUAUCGGAGUGUAGCCAAGUUGGCUAGAAAAAUGUACUUCCUCUUUUGUAAAUGAGUAAUGCUAGGUAAAUGAACUUUUUAGACCAAAUUUAUAAAUCAUGUGAUGUGUCAUUGAUAGUAAAUAAGCACAUUAAUCAAUACUUAAUAAUAAUCCAAUUAUCAACAUUCACGUUAUAUGGAUUACAAAUUUUAAUUUAAAUAGUUAGUCUCCCUAGCAUUGCUCUUUGUAAAUAUCUUAUUCUCCUUCAUUCAUAAAUUAGAAUUGGGUAGUGCUAUCCACCCAUCCAUUUUUUUUAAAUUUAUUAUCAUUAAGGGGAUGAAAAGAGUUUAAAACUAUUACAAUAAAUUAGGAGAGGAGAAGUUUCAAACCUGGAACAUAUUGGUAGAAACACAACAUCCUAUCCAUUGGUGAUGUAAGAGGAGCCAAUGGGUCUUGGGAAGACGAUGGAGAUAGAAACCAGGGGAGUCACUCAACCAACUGCAUCAAUUAGAAUAUUGGACCACUUGCAAACAUACUUAUUUCUACUUCUUACAUAGCACUCUCAAUUUUCAGUCGUUGGAUCGAAUAAAUUGAAGAUCAACGAUAAAAAAAUAAUAAAGAUAUGUGAAAAAAUAAAAAUAGAUGUGUAAAUAGCAAUUUUAGUUAGAAUAUCGCUUUAUAAAAAACAAGAUAGCUCCCUGUUUCACUUACUGGUAGUUGUUUUUAAUGGUUCGAAAUUGUUGGUUGUAAAUAAAAGAGAAGUUGACUAAAACAAUCUCAAAUAAAAAGUAAAAAGUGAAAGUAAAUUGUGAGGUAGGGUUUCAUUAGAAUGGAUCGAAAAUCCUUUUGUGUCAGUACUAAUUCGUGCAGAUGACGUUUUAACGGCACCGUAAUAACGCUCAUUUAUAGUACAUUGUAAAAAGAUGAUGGUUGAUGGUUUUGUCCUUUAAUUUUAGGAUAAUUCGGUUCCCAACCCUCAAUCUUUUGAAAUUAAUCCCUUUAAACUUUUAAUACGAAAUAACUAGUUUGUCCCUUUAAAUUUUAAUUUAUUUAUGUUAAACACUUUUUUAACCACCACCAAAUGUCAUAUUUAAUAACUAAACCCACUCAUCAUCAUUUUUUUUAAGCUCUCAAACCUAGUAUUUUCCAUUAUUGAACGAAUCUAAACAUGAAAUCGUCUCUUGAGUAUCCAAAUGAGGCACAGGUUGAUAAUUUUUUAUUUCUCAUCAAAUUUUUAGAUUCAGACACCAUGAUAAACGCCUAACUAAAAAUAGAGGAUGUUCGGUGCAAAAUCCCUAUGGAUAUAACAUUAAUAUUCAUCAUUUAUCCACGUCAAUUUUUUUGGCUUAGUUAAUUAAAUUUUCACGUUACAUCAAACUUCCCUAAAAAAAAAAAAUUAAAACCCAAUCUUGAGUACAUUUACUCGAUACCUCAUCGCUUGCAAAUGAUUACAUGUAGUGAGCGUUUACUGAAUAGUUUAGUUGGAAGCCUUCCUUUGCGCAAAAGAUUCAAAUUUUCUCACAAUCCCUAAUGGCUUGCAAAUGAUUACAUGUAUUCAGAGUUUAGUUUAUAACAUUUUUGCUUUUACCGUUACAAAUUCCAUAAAAUAUUAAUACCGUAAAACAAAAGAUCCAAAACAGUUUACUGCAAACCUUCUUUGGCGCAAAACAAUUAAACUAUUUUCAUAUUCAUUGCUUGCGGAUGAUCACACGUGUAUUCAAAGUUCUCUCAAUAACCCUACUAAUUUUACCGUUACGAAUUCUAUAAAUAUACGUACAACAAAACCUGAACAAUUUAAUUCAAAAACCUUCUUUGGCGCGAAACAUUCAAAUUCACUCGAUGCCUCAUCGUUAGCUUGUAAACGACUACAGUCAUUCAAAGUUUACGAACUAGCUUUUCACAGAUUUCAUUGAGAAGGAAAACUCUGAAGCAUAUCCAAAACACAAAAUAGUGAAUCUUUGGGGGAGCUUUUUGGCAACAAAAGUCAUUUAGCAAUUGAGUACAAGCAAAGUCACUAUUUCACUUAUUCUCCCUCUUUUUCCCUCUUUCCUUCUUCCUUCCCCCAAAACGAAACUUCCCCAUUUCCUUCCCUCCCCACUUCCAAAUUCCCAACGUCAAUACAAAAAACCACCGUCCCCCCAAAAUCCCAACCGCGUAAAAGCACUCGUCCAAAAAGGUCAAGUCUCAGUCAAAAGGUCCCCCACUCCGCGUUCACACCUGCAUACACGCCUCGCACAGAUAUAAAUAUGCCUCCCCUCCAGUUCAACUCCUCCAGCCGACAUCUCCAUAUCUACCAGUUCACCUCCAAGCUCGAAAUUCAAGUUCACACAGGCAUUUCAUCAAACACCUUUCAUCCCACCACCAAAGUUCAGACCUUUCAUGGAAAUUACUCCGUUCCCAUUACUUAGUCAAGAAGAUGACUCCCAUUUCUAUACCCUGUUGUCUGACAUGGACGAAUUCGACAUAAAUGGCGGGAAUCACACCCUGAAGAAGCGGAGAAAGGACGAUGGAAACAACCAUGGUGGCGGCGCUGGAGCUGCUCCGGGGGCAAUGAGCGACAUACUUGCCUCGCUGAUUCUGCUGGACGAGGAGGAGAAGCUGGAGCAGGAGAGCUACUUGGUCGAAGCCCAGCAGGAAAGAUCGAUGCUUGAAGAUAAUCACAGGCAGAAGACUCGAGCUAUGGAGGAGUACUACUCUGAUAUUCAGCAGCACCAUUCUCAAUCCGACGAAUCGGACCUGUCUAGGGCGAAACGGAGUCGACAGUCCGCUUCCGCUGCGGCCGCUGCUGCAGCUGAGGCCUCCGCGGCCGGUCCGGACCCGAGUUCGAGUGCUAUGAUCCCGGGUCCGCACCGGAGGCUUUGGGUGAAGGACAGGCCCAAGGUGUGGUGGGAGAAUUUGGGCCGCCCAGACGUUUCGGAGGAGGAGUUUCGAAAAGCUUUUCGGAUGAGCAAGGGGACGUUCGACAUGAUCUGCGCGGAGCUGGAGUCGGCGGUUUUUAAGAAGAACACAAUGCUGCGCGAGGCAAUUCCGGUGCGCCAACGCGUGGCGGUGUGCAUAUAUCGGCUUGCCACCGGGGAGCCGCUCCGGGAGGUUUCGAGACGUUUCGGGCUGGGAAUCUCCACCUGCCACAAGCUGGUUCUGGAAGUUUGCGUUGCCAUCAAGACUGUCUUGAUGCACAAGUUUCUCCAGUGGCCGGACGAGGGCAGGAUGCAGGAGAUCAAGGAGGAGUUCGAGGCCACUUCCGGAAUUCCAAAUGUUGCUGGGUCUAUGUACACCACCCACAUAUCAAUUAUUGCUCCAAAGGUGAAUGUGGCUGCGUAUUUCAACAAGCGGCACACGGAACGCAACCAGAAAACUUCGUAUUCGGUCACGGUUCAAGGGAUUGUCGAUCCGAGAGGCGUUUUCACCGACGUUUGCAUCGGCUGGCCGGGUUCGAUGCCGGACGAUCAGGUGCUGGAGAAGUCUGCAUUGUUCCAGAGAGCAAACAGAGGACUCUUGAAGGAUGUGUGGGUUGUGGGAAAUGCUGGGUUUCCACUGAUGGAUUGGGUGCUGGUUCCUUACACCCACCAGAACUUGACGUGGACCCAGCACGCAUUCAAUGAGAAAAUCGGAGAAGUGGAAGGGGUGGCUAAAGAUGCAUUUGCAAAGCUCAAAGGGAGGUGGUCUUGCUUGCAGAAGAGGACUGAGAUCAAGCUGCAGGACUUGCCUGUUGUGCUUGGGGCUUGCUGUGUUUUGCACAAUAUUUGUGCAAUGAGGAAUGAUGAGCUCGAUCCCGAGUUCGAGUUCGAGCUCUUCGACGAUUUGGCAACGCCGGAAAAUAGUCUGAGGUCGGCGGGAUCGGUGCAGGCGAGGGAUCAUAUUGCUCAUAAUUUGUUGCACCAUGGCCUUGCUGCAGGCACCGGUUCUGGUUUUCUAUAGGGGGGGGUUUUGAGUUCAGCUUUUGUUCUAGUCAUAUUAUAGAGUAAAAGAUGAUACAGAGAUAUAUGUAGUUUGGCUUUGUUUAGCUUUGUGUAUAUAAGCAUUUACCCACCUUCUGUCUAUUUAUCCAUUCUAAAUAUAUUUCCUUCUUUUUUGCUAUCUGAAAUUCUAAAUCUGAUUUUGAAGUUUGAGCGACCAUAAGACUAGCUGAGACCUUUUAUUACGUUGUUGAAGGUGAAAUCUGUCGUAUCACUAAAUGUAUAUCAUUGUGAUUGUGCUUCUUUCCCUCUGAUUAUGAAAUUUGAGCGACUAUAAAGCUAGUCAAGAUUUUCAUUUAUGAUUCAUUGCCGAAGAGAUAUUUGUCGUGUCACCAGACACCAACUGACAUUUUUAAUUAUGUUGUCGACGGAAAAGUUGAUGUAUCACUAGUUGUAUAUAACUUUGUACCUAUCUCUUUAAGAUGCACGUUUGAGCAAUAUAACUAGAUAAGAUUCUUGAUUAUGUUAUUGAAGAGGAAAUAUGUCAUAUCACAAAUUGUAUAUAAUUGUGCACCUAUCUCUUUUACUCGAAAGUUUGAAUAACUAUAAUCCUACUCAAAAUUUUCAAAUUAGGUUGUCAAGAGACAAUUUCUUGUAUCACCGGUUGUAUACAACCUAACAUCUUUCAUGUCACGUGCUUGAUCACUUAUGUUACCAAUUGUGUACAACAUUGCAUCCUUCUCGUAUUGUGCUCAGCUGUUCAUGUUUCGAGAGAUAGACACAGAAAAAAAAAUCCAAUGGAAGAUAAGUAAGAUUCUUCCCGUUGUCAAUCAUGUAACUUUUACUUCUUGGCCAUAUCAGGCUAUUAAACUAGGCAGGCCCCAAAAUACCAAGUUCCACAGAAUUUGUGAUGGCGCAUCAUAAAUUCCUAAUUUUCAACCUUACAAUCUCUUUUGCAGUCAUAGGUUUUAUCAACUCUUUGUCCAACAAACUGAUUGCAACGCGGUUUCCCCUACUUUGUCACAACAACAAUUAUGGUUUGUGUUGCUCCGCCCCCACUUUCCUCUCACCUUUGAACUAUUUGCUUGCCUGGUCUCCUCUGCUCUUUGACUUUAACCAACUCUUUCUUGGCAAGUUGGCGUUGAUGGGGGAGACUACAAGUCUAUUUUAUCAACUAAUUAAUCACCUUCACUAUAUUUUUCUAAUUUCCAUUAGUCUUGUUUCGGGUAGAAUCGGCUUUGUAACCGGUUGUUUGUUCACUUAUAUCGUGAUGAGAAAGACAAAGAUAUCAACCGUGGAUCGGUAAGAGUUUCUGCUUGUAGUUUAGGGAGUGGUGGAAACCUUGUUGUGAGAUGUUUUUGGCCAGUUGGAUUUUUGCUAGUCUGCAUUUUGAAGUCGAUUUACAAUAUCUGAGUCUUUCAAUACAUUUGCAGCAAUCUAACAGAGCUUCUCUGUUUUUGCUUGAUUAUCAUUUACUGAAGAGAAGAUUAUCAUUAAGAAAGUAAAAUCUAUAAAACUAAUUAUAAACAUGGUAACAUCAAGGCACAAGUAGAUUUUUCUCUCUAAUUCGGAAAUUAAUUUGGUGUCUCAGGUGUAUACACUUUUGUGUCGAUCUUUCUCCUCACUUACGUAAUCAAGUUGAUGAGCGAGAUGACACAUAGAGACAAAGGUGUAUACAUUCCUUUUGUGAUGAAACAGAUAGAGAUGGAGAUGGUGUGUACAUUUCUUCCGUGAUGAUAUAGAUAGAGACAGAUGUGUACACAUUCCUUCCGUGGUGAUAUAGAUAGACACAAAGGUGUAUACAUCCCUCUCAUGAUAAUACAAAUAGAGACAAAUGUGUAUACAUUUCUUUUGUGAUGUUACAAAUAGACACAAAAGUGCAUACAUGCCUCUCGUGAGGACGCAAACAGAGAAAAAAGUGCAAUACAUUCCUUUCAUGACAAACAUAUAAACACAAAUGUGCAUACAUUUCUCCCGUGACGAUACAGAUAGACACAAAGGUGUAUACAUUCCUUCUGUGACAAUACAGAUAGACAUAAAAGUAUAUACAUUUCCCCCGUGAUGAUACAGAUAGACAAAAAUAUGUAUACAUUCCUCCACAAUGAUACAGAUCGACACAAAAGUAUACAUUCCACCUGUAAAGACAAAUACAUAUGAACGGACACGCAUAUACAUCCUUGACAUGCAAGUUAUAACAUUUUGGAAGCAUUUCCAUUACCUCCCCUAAUUCAUGAACCAUCAUGUUUUCCUUUUAUUAAAUGACUCUCAUCAAGAAAGUUCAUUGCACCUGCAAAAUGUUUGGUUUCAAAUUCUACUCUGGCAAUCUCCAACCAUAUUGACAGAUUGGAUUUCUUUCAUUAGUGAGGCAGCAGAUAAGACUACGACAGCUAAAAACUGUGCAGAUUUAGUCUUUCACUUCGAAACCUGCCUACCAACAACUGUGAAACAUUUGAUUUCCAUUUUUAGAAAUUUCUCAAGUGCAUCUUUUCACACGUGAAUUUUUCUUUUCGAGACUUUCACAUAUGGAAAUCUUGUGCUGCCAUUGCAGCAUUAAGAACAUGAAUUUACAAAUCACUUUCUAAGUAUAUGACUAAUUAUAAUUUUUUUUUCUUUCCAAAAUAUGAUUAUUUGUCAAUUAAGGAAUAAAAUUUGGUUAAUUCCUUUUGUUUAAUAUAAAGAGAAUAUAUUUAGUUGUAACAUGCUGUACCACCUGAGAAAUGCCACCCAAGAGAGUCCAACUGUAGGAACCCAGGAACAGCCAACUGGACAUGGACACGUGUCAGACAGACAAAUUAGACGUUGGUGGAGAGAAAUAUAAAAAUUGGUUGUAGAAGCUGUUUUUGGAGGGGUCUCGUAUUCUCAUUCGUCCCGGGGUUUUCGCUUCGUUGUCACUCGUCACAAUCAUCCAAAUUUCUCAAGCCAUAGAGAGAGGUAGAGAGGGAGAGGAUGGAGAACCAUAAGCAGAUGGAGAGGGACGAGGCGGGGCCCAUGGCGGUGGAGGCGGCGGAGGAGGAGGAGAACGGGCAGGUGGGGUCCAGCCUGACCCUGGAGAGGGUGGCUGCGGCAAAGCAGUUCAUAGAGAGCCACUACAAGGCUCAGAUGAAGCACAUCCAGGACCGUAAACAGAGGUAGGGAAAAAAGACAUUUCCUUUUGUUGAAUUUACUGUUUUUAAGGAUCUUUCUGUCUUGCCCAGUUCUUGUUUUUGCAAUUUCAGCUGGUGUUUUUGCGAUCAGAAUUGUUUUUUAUUCUGGGUAUUUGAUUUUUUUCUUUUGUUUGGAAUGGAAAGCCUUGAUUUUCCUGAGAAAUGACGGUGUUUCUUUGACUGCCCUGGAAUUGCAUUCCUGGAAAGAGUUGGAAUUUGAUUGGUUUUUUGGGAAAUGGGGUUCAUUGGAAAUUCCCAAAUCAUUGUGCUUUUGGAAUGCAUAUGCUUUCAUGAAGUGGAAGUAAAUAUUGUUAAGUUAUGCUUAUCACCAAGUCGAAUUGUGUUUAGAUUUUUUCUACCAGGGGAGCUAAUGAUGAUAGCAACCUUAUAAGGAAUAUCAAACAUGAUAAGAUGUUGGGUGCUGAUUUUGCAGAAUGACAUUUGCAAAUUAGUAAAGAACUGCAUAGUGAUGAAUAAUUAUAGUUUUGAGGCUUCGUAAUUAUAUAAUCCGCAAAUCCUUAGUUGGAAAAGUAUUUUGUUAUUGGUUUGUUAUGACUUUAAUCACCUUAGAAGAACUAAACUGGGUGCAACUGUGAACAAAUUGAGAAAGAUAUUUAUUGUGCAUUAUUUGGCAGUUGACUGUGUGAUUGAGCCCCUUUGGUUUAGCAAUAAGCGAGAGACAUGUUUCAUAACAUAAAAUGGGUGGUGGUUGUCAUUGGUUCUUUAUGGAUUGUUUGGAUUGUUUCUCGUUUGUGUUUUUUUCAUGCCAUUCCAUCAGGUAUAAUUUGUGUUAAUAUUUCAACUUGUGCAUGGUAGAGUCACUGGAAGAGACUGCUGAAAAAGCUAAAAUGUUGAGUUCUUAGGCAAUAGAAUCGCCUGUUAAUAUGGUUAUUUCUGCAGUGUUUUUCAUCAAUGUUAUCUUUAAUGCCUGGUCUGUUCUGUUUCCAGUGUCCAUUAUGGCAGUUUUACUUCAAACACUGUUGCAUUCAUGCCACAUAAACUUUAUAUCGCUAGUGCUGAAUAUGUUCUUGUUUUUUUAUAUGUUUUUAGAGUCCACUAGUUGUGAUGUGCCUCCACCACUGGUAAUUAAAGUGAAAUUGGCAAUGGUUAGAGGAUAAAGGUUCUGUCAUUGAUCUUGAUAUGUGCCCUCAAAUGUGUUCAUUGUUUCCAGGCGCUCGGUGCUGGAAAAGAAGUUGGCAUCUGAACAUGUACCAGAGGAGGAACAGAUCAAUUUGUUGAAGGAUUUGGAGCGCACAGAGACUCAAUACAUUCGCCUUAAAAGGCACAAGAUUUGUGUAGAUGAUUUUGACCUUUUGGCCAUAAUUGGGAGAGGGGCCUUCGGAGAGGUAGAUAUAUGCAUCUCUUAUAACUUGCAUGGGUGCUAGGUUUAAAAGAUUUUUAUUUUCCUUUUCAACUUAUUAAUAUACAGAGAAAGUGAGUAUAAGCUUGUUUCUGUUACCCUUGACCUCGAGUUGUUUACUGUUACAGUAUGCUGAUUACUUCUAAAACAAAUAUGAUGGUUAUUUGUUUCAUUUUCUUUGUUGUAGUUUUUUUCUUUGGUUUAUGUUUGAUAAUUUCUUGAUACAAUAUUUCUAUUAAUAUUUUGCAGGUUAGACUGUGCCGGGAGAAGAAAUCUGGCAAUAUUUACGCCAUGAAAAAGUUGAAGAAGUCAGAAAUGCUCAGUAGGGGGCAGGUAAUUAUAUUGCACAUCAAGAAUUGAUUUAAUUUUAACCUCUUUUACCUUAAGGGAAAGAGAAACUUCGAUUUAAGGUUCUCAAAUUUUCAUCCAUUACUUCUAGUGUAAAUCUUGUACUCACUGGUUGUCUAUCCACAAUGUAGGUUGAACAUGUUAGAGCUGAAAGGAAUUUGCUUGCAGAGGUUGCCAGUCAUUGCAUUGUGAAACUUUACUAUUCCUUUCAAGAUGCUGAAUACUUGUAUCUAGUCAUGGAAUAUCUACCUGGUGGUGACAUGAUGACUUUGCUUAUCAGAGAAGAGUCUUUGACUGAAACUAUUGCUAGAUUUUACAUUGCGCAAUGUGUUCUGGCCAUAGAAUCUAUUCACAAACAUAACUACAUUCACAGGUUGGUUUAUCCUUUUGGUCACAGGCUUGCCAACAUUGGAAGCUGCAUUCUGUUAAAGUUUGUUAUAUUAAUAAAUGGUACAUCAAGAUAACAUAAUGUAACUCUUGCAUUUGCUACGUCUAUGUUUUUUUUUCAGAGACAUAAAACCAGACAAUCUUCUGUUAGACAAAAAUGGUCACAUGAAGCUUUCUGAUUUUGGUCUUUGCAAGCCUCUUGAUUGCUCAAAUUUAUCUUCCAUAAAUGAAAAUGAAGUGCUUGAUGAUGAGAACCUGCAUGAGACAAUGGAUAUUGAUGAAUCCUUCCCAGAAACCAAAAAUGGGAGGCGCUGGAAAAGCCCGCUUGAGCAACUUCAGCAUUGGCAGAUAAACAGGAGAAAAUUGGUAGUCAAAUGAUCCUUUCCUUUAUAUUCUAAUGUGGAAUUUCACCUCUCUUACAGUCUUACUCUUAGAUUCUUGACUGGAUAAAGUGCAAGCAACAAACAUUUGCUAUUUGUAUAUAAUUAACACUUUGUAGAUUUAAGAUGCAAUGUUUAAUGCCAUUUCCUUUGUUUCAAUGGUAGGCAUUUUCUACAGUUGGAACUCCAGAUUACAUCGCUCCAGAGGUAUUGUUGAAGAAAGGAUACGGCAUGGAGUGUGACUGGUGAGUCCACGAUGUUGGAGCAUUAUUGGAUUGUUAUAGUAGCUAAAAUAUGUGUGAGCAAGUUCGUUUGUGAAUUCUAUUUCUCACCCAAUUCCUGCUUGUAGGUGGUCACUUGGUGCAAUAAUGUAUGAGAUGCUGGUUGGUUAUCCUCCAUUUUACUCUGAUGAUCCAGUCACAACAUGCAGAAAGGUUACGUAGUCAGCAUAUAUUUUGCUUAUAUUUUCUGAUUCAAGUGUAUACUAUCUCAUAGUUUUCAUUGUUGCAUGGUUUUCACAAUAAUUAGACUGCGGUAAGAUUAAUUUCAACAUAACUCGCCAGGUUGCGUUUGUCUCACAUGUUUUUCUCAAGAAAGUUGAAUUUACAAAUUGUUUCUGAAGCAGUAACAUUUGCGGAGUUCUACAUUUCUUACUGAAGUUUUAUUGAUAUAUUCAUAUCUCGUGCAUAACCUGACAUAUGGAAGAAUGUAUGCAGAUUGUACAUUGGAAAAAUCACUUGAAAUUUCCUGUCGAGGCAAGGUUGACACCUGAAGCAAAGGAUCUGAUUGGUAGGUUCCUUUGCGAUGUUGAAAAUAGACUUUGUAGAGCAGACCAAAUUAAGGUAUUUCCCCUCUAUUUCCGAUGACUUUUAUGGUUUUACCCUCACAUUGUUACGCCAUUCUUAAUGAAAUAAGUCCUCGUAUUUUAAAUGGAUCAGGCUCAUCCUUGGUUUAGAGAUAUUGCAUGGGACAGACUUUACGAGACGGAGGCAGCAUUUAAACCAGAGGUCAAUGAUGAACUUGAUACUCAAAACUUUAUGAAGUAUGAUGAGGUAAGGUGUCAAAUAUACUCCUGUUGGCUUACUGCUCACGAAAACAUCCAACCUAUACUAGUCGCUAGUAGUGAGGUACUGGAUUGUGCCCUUGUGUCUAAAAUUCAACUGUGCUGCAGGUGGAUCCACCAGCACCUGGAAGAACUGGAUCUGGACCAAUGAGAAAGGUAUGUUUCUCAUAGCCAAAAGAGAACGGAGACUUAAAGUGGCGCAAUGUCAAUUCAUAAUCUGGUGAUGGCUUUUGUAAUGUAAACGUGUAAAAGGGUACAUUUUGACAUACUAGAUUAAUAAAACAAAUUUUCUUUAUAUUUUUGGGGGUUUGAACUUAUCUAAAAUAUCAACUAAUCUUUUUUUGGAGGCCCAGUGUGCUUAUUUUCAUGAUCUUGUAUGAAGGAACAUUUUUACUCUUGGAGAAGGGAAAACACGGAAAGAAAAUUUGUGUUAUAUUAGUUUUGAUUUAUGUAAAGUAGUUUCCGUGACACUUUGUGCUUGUUCUGUAUCUUUCUUUGCAGACGUUGUUGACUCCUAAAGAUCUCAGUUUUGUUGGCUACACAUACAAGAAUUUUGAGGCUGUCAAAGGGUUGCAUCAUUCAUCUGGUAUGCAUUGUACCGCAGUACAAUUUUCUUCACAUCUCUUUUUGCCUUUGUCUUUCUAUGCGCAAUAUGCUACCAAGUUUUAAUUUAAUGAGCAACUUCAUCUGCUAAAUUUCCUGGAUUAUGCUCAUUACUGUUACAGAUCUAAAGAGAAGUACAUCGCUGAACCGGACAUCUGUUGACUCUUCUCAAAGUAAUAAAUCCUGACCCGAACUGGUCUCAUUGACUGUAAAUUUUGUUUGUAAUGUGCCUGUAAUAAUUGACUGUGUACCUGUCCAGGUGAUUCUGUACUGGACUACUCCACUAAGUAUUCCUCGUACGACAUGGAAGCUCAGGUACUUGCUGCAUCAGAGGAUGUCAUGUCAGAGUGACUCGUAGCAUCUAGUAUGACAGGCGGAUAGAGCCCUUCUAGGAACAUGCUGGGCGCACCUGCUUGUUUUUUCCGGUUAGGUUUUCACCCACAUGAUCAACACAGUUGACAGCUACAUCUUGCAGAACAGUGUACAGUAGUAAUGUUGAAGACGCUUCAAGAUGACCCGUUGGAUGGGUUGGUUUUGUAGGAGUAGUACUAGUAGAUCUUGAGAGCUUUUUGUAUCCCAGUAGGUGUGAGAGUUUUGUCAAGGUCUUGGCUACCCAGGUUGGCAUUCAAAAUGUGCCUUCACUUGUGGCAGUUUUUGAUCUUUCUUCUCUUGAUUGUCUAUAGAAAAUUAUGGUUGCCGAAACAUGAAAAAACUGAGGUUUUGAGUCCUAAAUUUGAGGAUGUUAUUGAUGUUGAAAUCUUAUAGUCCCAUAUCUUCCCAAUACUUAUAUCUCUUAUUUCAUAUAAAAUUGAUUGCAGCUGAGUGCAGUUUGGCUUCUUUAUGCCCUUUUUUUUUCCUUUCUAGGAAACCUCGACGGUACGAGAGAAAAACUUUUCCCCUGUCCUCAAUAUAUAACUUUUUUUUUUACCAAAUCGUAGAUAACCAAGAUUCAAUACAACAAUCGCCACCAAAAGGCUUUUCUUUUGGAACAAAACAAACCACCAGACUAAUGCAAAGAGUGGCGGGAACUGACACACCCCGUCCCGAAGGAGGGCAUGCUGGCCGUCACGUGAGAGUGACGUAACCAUUUGCACAGUACGGAAGCUUUAAGAUACAAUUUAAAUUGAUACACCCGAAGGUGAGUCCUAAUUUGUCCAAUCUGUCAGAACACCGUCGAAUUCCUCGUAGUCACCACACCUUUGUGAUUCUUGAACCUGGAGGGGCGCAAAACCAAAAUUGAGUGGGUCAGUAAAACAAUUCUUUUCCAAAUCCAAACAUUUCUCAAAACGUUGUAACCCCUCUCCGUAAAACCUGUAUACUUUCCCAGAAAUGUAAAAUAUAAAUAUACAUAUAUAUUCUCAAAACUUCAUUUUUACUAUCUCAACAUUUUUCUUUAUCAAUCAUGCCAUGCCAUGUCUAAUUCAACAGUUAAAUAUGGAUGCAUCAAUAAUAAUCAUAUCAGGUGCAAGAAAGUAAUCAACCGGAGGCCCUCUAAUAGCCCUGUACGGUUGAACCUAGAGCUCAAAAUCUAUCACUAUCACUCUACCGGAGUCACCUCUGUGACCCGUCCGGCCUUCUGCACACAAGUUACGCUCUAGUGCUUUUCUCAUCAAUCAUCUGUGCACAUAAUCUAAGGUCACCCACCAGUCGGAAUCUCACUAAACACUCUCGCGACUGGCCUGUCGUACCCACUCCGCGUGGACUGUACGACUAGCAUCUACUUGGAUCCAAGGCGAGCGUGCGAUGCGGUGAAUACUAUAAGCACUAAACCAUGGUGCAGGAUUUGAGCUCAAUAUAUAUCAACAUCAUCAUAACAGUAAUUAAAUACUCACCUGAUACUCACCUGUGCGUCCGCCGCACCAUUCAUUCAUAUGCAUCAUAUCUCAAUUCAUACUUUUCAUAUCAUUUCAUGCAUGGCAAUUCGAUUCACAUUUCUAUAUACUUUUCAUAUACUUUUAUGCAUGGCAUUUCAACUAAUAUAUCUCAUAUACUUUUAUACAUUUUCAUUAAAAGCAUAAUUUCAUGCAUUUUCAAUUUCUGGGAAACGGCAAGUAUAUAUGUAUACGGAAAACAAAACUGCCCACUCACCUGGAGUUCGCCCUACAACUCCCUAGCACAAUACGCCAAGGCGUCAUGACGAUCGGCGCCUAAAACAAUAAUUAAUUCCAACCUCAGAAUUCAUAGUGAUAGAAUAUAUAACUUAUAUAAAAUACGUCACUACGUAGUUCGAUCCGGAAGAUCUGCCACUCAGAUUUUAAAUCCAUAACUUCCAGAGGUCCACAAUAUACCUCUAGGACAACUUCCUAAAAUUUCAUUACCAUCCAACGGUCGGAUCUCCGUCAAUUUCCAAAACUAAGUGACGGUUAACAUUUUAUUUUAUGAACUUACAAUUCCAAUUCCGGAAGAUCCGUAAACUCGGAUUCCCAAUCCGUAAGUUCCAAUAAUCCUCAAAUAUUACGUAUUACAACGUAUCAAAGUUUGGUAACGAUCCAACGGUCGGAUCGUCAAUUCACAUUUUCACCAAAACUAUAAAACGUUAUUCGAACACCUAACCAACAAUCCUUAAUAACUUUCUCAUACGGUGCUCAAAUUGGGUAUAUGAAUAUACCACGGUGAUCUACUCGACGUCACGGACGUCGACAUAUUUUUAAAAUAAUUUUAUUUAUUUAUUUUUUUAACUGUAGCACCUUCUUCUUCCUUGGGUCGCCGGACUGGUUUUUCCGGCGGCCGUUUUCCGGGCAGUUUUUCAAAUUGUCAUAACUUUGUCAUUUCUCAACGAAAUCAAGUGAUUCAAAAACGAAAGUUGUAGCCCUUGAAGAGACAAAGAGAAUGGUACCUUUCCCAACACCUAGUUCGCCGUAGUUUGGCCGGAAACUGCCUCGAAAGCCUCGGAGGUCGCCGGAAAACUGGGUAUUUUUUCAAAUGAGUAUAACUUCUUCAAUACUCAACAAAAUUGAGUGAAACAAAAAGGAAAGUUGUAGUACUUGACGAGACGAAGAGAUUGAUACCUACCUCGACGCCUAACUCGCCGGGGAUUCGCCGGAAAAUGCCUCGAAAGCUCCGGCCAAACUUUGAACUUAUCGAUCUCCGUGUUCUUACGUCCAAAAACUUCCAACGAAGCACUCCGAGCUUCCUUGGAACCUCACUAAGCUCACUGUGAGCUUGGAUUGUCCUAAAACAAAGUCAAUUCGAAGAUCAUGAACAGUGCACUUUCACGGGAGUUUAGAAUCUAGGUUUUCCGAAGUAAAACUUACCUGAAAUUGGUGUCUACGUGAUCGUGGAGUCUCCAGGAGUUCGAUGGUGGUCUUAACUCCGUCGUUGGUGGAAGUUUAAGGUUGUUUUGUGGUUGGUUUGUUCGAACGGAGAAGAAGAGUGACAGAGAGAGAGAGAUUCGUGAGGGAGGAGAGAGAGUGAAUGACAGUAUACGGGAAUUGGGGAGGGAAUCAGGGUAGGAGGCCCUACUUAAAUCCCAAACACAACUUUAAACAUACUAAUGUAAAUCCAAUUGUUAAAUUUUCGCCCCUUAGUCCCGCU